Glycine max (soybean) is the source of this 359-nucleotide non-coding RNA. Lineage: Eukaryota; Viridiplantae; Streptophyta; Magnoliopsida; Fabales; Fabaceae. The record is from Rfam.
UCUUGUAGAAAUAAAUGUCUGGUGAACUGAAACAUCUUAGUAGCUAGAGGAAAAUAAAACAAAAGCGAUUCCCUUAGUAGUGGUGAGCGAAAUGGGAGCAGCCUAAAUCGUGAAAACGAGAUUGUGGGAGAGUUAUACAAGUGUCGUGCUACUAGGCGAAGCAGCAGAGAAUGUUGCAUCCUAGAUGGAAAGAGUCCAAUAGUCGAAAGCAUCACUAGCUUACGCUCUGACUCGAGUAGCAUGGUGCAUGUGGAAUCCCGUGUGAAUCAGCAAGGACCACCUUGCAAGGCUAAAUACUCCUAGGUAACCGAUAGUGAAGUAGUACCGUGAGGGAAGGGUGAAAGGAACCCCCAUCGUUG